GGAAGGUGUGGAUGUGAUCACAAGCGUCUUCAGAGCUGUGACCUCUGCCUGCAGCAUGUCGAUCUUUCCCCAUGCCUCCUUCAGCUGCUUCUCUGAUGCCGCCUGUUUUGUGUUUGCUUCUCUCACCAUCUUGUGUGCCUCCUCGAACAGGCUAGCUGUUAACUCUUCUAGUUCCUGCUCCAGUUGUUCUCUGACUUUUGACAGUCUCUCACAUUCUUUGUCCUUCAGCUUCAGCUCCUUCUGUGCUUUGUGCAGCUCUUCCUUCAGGAACUCAGAGCCCUUCUCCCGGAUCUCCACCGAAG
RNAcentral lists this long non-coding RNA (302 nucleotides) under Gallus gallus (chicken). The record is from RNAcentral. Lineage: Eukaryota; Metazoa; Chordata; Aves; Galliformes; Phasianidae.